Molecule: ribosomal RNA, 479 nt
Filed under: Bacillus sp. (in: firmicutes)
Lineage: Bacteria; Bacillati; Bacillota; Bacilli; Caryophanales; Bacillaceae
Description: bacterial SSU rRNA
Rfam family: Bacterial small subunit ribosomal RNA
Source: RNAcentral
GAUGAGUUUGAUCGUGGCUCAGGACGAACGCUGGCGGCGUGCCUAAUACAUGCAAGUCGAGCGGAUCGAUGGGAGCUUGCUCCCUGAGAUCAGCGGCGGACGGGUGAGUAACACGUGGGUAACCUGCCUGUAAGACUGGGAUAACUCCGGGAAACCGGGGCUAAUACCGGAUAACAUUUUCCUCCGCAUGGAGGAGAAUUGAAAGGUGGCUUCGGCUACCACUUACAGAUGGACCCGCGGCGCAUUAGCUAGUUGGUGAGGUAACGGCUCACCAAGGCGACGAUGCGUAGCCGACCUGAGAGGGUGAUCGGCCACACUGGGACUGAGACACGGCCCAGACUCCUACGGGAGGCAGCAGUAGGGAAUCUUCCGCAAUGGACGAAAGUCUGACGGAGCAACGCCGCGUGAGUGAAGAAGGUUUUCGGAUCGUAAAACUCUGUUGUUAGGGAAGAACAAGUACCGUUCGAAUAGGGCGGUAC